RNAcentral lists this ribosomal RNA (253 nucleotides) under uncultured bacterium. RNAcentral describes it as "partial 16S ribosomal RNA". It matches the Rfam family "Bacterial small subunit ribosomal RNA", at positions 524 to 776 of the family's 1533-position model. The record is from RNAcentral.
UACGUAGGGGGCUAGCGUUGUCCGGAAUCAUUGGGCGCAAAGAGCGUGUAGGCGGCUCGGUAAGUCCGCUGUAAAAGUCAAAGGCUCAACCUUUGAAUGUCAGUGGAUACUGCCGGGCUAGAGUCCGGAAGAGGCGAGUGGAACUCCUGGUGUAGCGGUGGAAUGCGCAGAUAUCAGGAGGAACACCAAUGGCGAAGGCAGCACUCUGGGACGUGACUGACGCUGAGACGCGAAAGCGUGGGGAGCAAACAGG